AAAGAAUUGCUGUGUCAUAGCAGGGCACUUACUCAUGAUCUCUUUACUUCAACUAAAAUAAAGGUAUUCCUUCCAUUAUGUACUAAAAAUAGUACGACACAUUUAGCUGUUGUUAUCUGAUACUCACAUUGCAUAUUUUAUUAUAUUCAUUUUCUUUUCUUCUUUCUUCUUUCUUCUUUCUUCUUUCUUCUUUCAACUUUUAUACCAAGCAAAGCAUCUGCAACCUUCAACUAGAGCCUGGAGGACAGCUUUAUCUCUACUCUGAAGUCUGAAACCAAAAAAUGCCAAAUACAGAGUAAAGUGAAGCAGUCAACUUUUCUCAAAUUCCAAAGAAAGGUCAAGCAGAUUCAUUUCUUGAUUUAACAAUCAUGUUCAAAUCAUCGAAAUGGAAAAAGGAGAAAAUCAAAGCUGUAUUCAGAAUGCAGUUUCAAGUAACACAGGUAUGAUAACAGGAUGGUGGAAAGUUGUUUUCUU
This 474-nucleotide long non-coding RNA is filed under the name Nicotiana tabacum (common tobacco). RNAcentral's name for it is "long non-coding RNA (NTAB_LNC008892)". Lineage: Eukaryota; Viridiplantae; Streptophyta; Magnoliopsida; Solanales; Solanaceae. The record is from RNAcentral.